RNAcentral lists this small RNA (504 nucleotides) under Arabidopsis thaliana (thale cress). RNAcentral describes it as "ATSL183200". Lineage: Eukaryota; Viridiplantae; Streptophyta; Magnoliopsida; Brassicales; Brassicaceae. The record is from RNAcentral.
GAUGGUGUAGCAUCUUCAACCAAGACAGAUUCUAAGCCUAGAAUCUCCAACUGACAUAGCAUCUUAUGCUUCCACAACCCAAAGUCUCCUUUGCCAUCAAACUUCUCAAUAUCUCAAAUCUUGCAUUUGUUGGUUCCAUAGCUAGAUGUCUUCCUUACAAUCAAACCUGGAUUGCUCUGAUACCACUUGUAGAGAAAACUGAGAAUAAUAAUAGCUUGUAAAAGAAACAAACACAAGAAUUUGAUAACCGAGUUCACGGCUAACCGCUACGUCUCGGGGAAGGACUCUUAUUUCCAAGCUUCACUAUAUGAUCAUAGAGGUUACACACACCACUAACUUGUGAUGUCCUUGGUUCUUUUUCAGAUUUUACACACAAGAAGAACAAGAUUCAAGAACAACAAAGAGGAAGAAGAAAGCUUGCUUCGGAAGCUCUUUAUCUAUCUUCUCUUGAACUCUCUUUAGCUUGUCUUGUCACACAACUACCACCACCUCUCUUUGUACGUU